GGAAAGAGAGGAGAGUUGAGUUGGGAUUUUGACUUUGUUGGGUUUGUUGGAGUUGAAAACGGUGGAGAUUUUGGGGGGAUUAAGGAAAUGGGUAGGCAAAAUUGUGGAUAAUGCAAGGGAAAUUGAGGCUAUGGGUAAAGUUUGUUGUUGUUGUUGUUGUUGGGGUAUGGGGGUUGUAUUUUGUUGUUCUUCGUUAGAUGUUUGGUUUUCUAGGUUGUUGUUUGACGAUUGGUUGUUGGGAUCCAUUUUUAAGGUUUUGAGUGAGAAAUGGAGAGGUAAAGAGGAGGAAGAAGAACAAGAGGUGGAGAUGAAAAGAUAGGUGAAGGGUUGAUGACCUCCAAAGAAU
RNAcentral lists this long non-coding RNA (346 nucleotides) under Capsicum annuum. RNAcentral describes it as "long non-coding RNA (CANN_LNC005539)". Lineage: Eukaryota; Viridiplantae; Streptophyta; Magnoliopsida; Solanales; Solanaceae. The record is from RNAcentral.